GCACAAGCGGUGGAGCAUGUGGUUUAAUUCGAAGCAACGCGAAGAACCUUACCAGGUCUUGACAUCCCACUGACCGGUAUAGAGAUAUACCUUUCCCUUCGGGGACAGUGGUGACAGGUGGUGCAUGGUUGUCGUCAGCUCGUGUCGUGAGAUGUUGGGUUAAGUCCCGCAACGAGCGCAACCCUUGAUCUUAGUUGCCAGCAUUUAGUUGGGCACUCUAAGGUGACUGCCGGUGACAAACCGGAGGAAGGUGGGGAUGACGUCAAAUCAUCAUGCCCCUUAUGACCUGGGCUACACACGUGCUACAAUGGAUGGUACAAGGGGCUGCGAGACUGCGAAGUCAAGCGAAUCCCAUAAAACCAUUCUCAGUUCGGAUUGCAGGCUGCAACUCGCCUGCAUGAAGCUGGAAUCGCUAGUAAUCGUGGAUCAGCAUGCCACGGUGAAUACGUUCCCGGGC
RNAcentral lists this ribosomal RNA (457 nucleotides) under uncultured soil bacterium. Its description in RNAcentral is "bacterial SSU rRNA". It matches the Rfam family "Bacterial small subunit ribosomal RNA", at positions 923 to 1379 of the family's 1533-position model. The record is from RNAcentral.